GACGAACGCUGGCGGCGUGCCUAAUACAUGCAAGUAGAACGCUGAAGGAGGAGCUUGCUCUUCUGGAUGAGUUGCGAACGGGUGAGUAACGCGUAGGUAACCUGCCUGGUAGCGGGGGAUAACUAUUGGAAACGAUAGCUAAUACCGCAUAAGAGUAGAUGUUGCAUGACAUUUACUUAAAAGGUGCAAUUGCAUCACUACCAGAUGGACCUGCGUUGUAUUAGCUAGUUGGUGGGGUAACGGCUUACCAAGGCGACGAUACAUAGCCGACCUGAGAGGGGGAUCGGCCACACUGGGACUGAGACACGGCCCAGACUCCUACGGGAGGCAGCAGUAGGGAAUCUUCGGCAAUGGACGGAAGUCUGACCGGGCAACGCCGCGUGAGUGAAGAAGGGUUUCGGAUCGUAAAGCUCUGUUGUAAGAGAAGAACGAGUGUGAGAGUGGAAAGUUCACACUGUGACGGUAGCUUACCAGAAAGGGACGGCUAACUACGUG
Molecule: ribosomal RNA, 495 nt
Filed under: uncultured bacterium
Lineage: Bacteria
Description: partial 16S ribosomal RNA
Rfam family: Bacterial small subunit ribosomal RNA
Source: RNAcentral